GAUUUCUGGUUCGGCGCAUCUAGCCCGCCUCGGUUUCGGGGACGUGUGCUGGUGUGCGCCAUCCAUCCUUCGAGAAAGCACCUCUGCCUUUACUGGUUGGAGAUGUGAUCUCGAUCUUUUACUUUGAAAAAAUUAGAGUGUUUAAAGCAGGCUUGCGCGCAUAGAUACAUUAGCAUGGAAUAAUAAUUUAGGACUUUGGUCUUAUUUUGUUGGUUUCUAGGACUAAAGUAAUGAUUGAUAGGGACAGUUGGGGGUGCUAGUAUUCAGCGGCCAGAGGUGAAAUUCUUGGAUUCGCUGAAGACUAACUUAUGCGAAAGCAUU
RNAcentral lists this ribosomal RNA (321 nucleotides) under Cercomonadidae sp. Its description in RNAcentral is "SSU rRNA". The stretch from base 105 to 321 matches the Rfam family "Eukaryotic small subunit ribosomal RNA", at positions 738 to 955 of the family's 1831-position model. The record is from RNAcentral. Lineage: Eukaryota; Cercozoa; Cercomonadida; Cercomonadidae.